This 254-nucleotide ribosomal RNA is filed under the name uncultured bacterium. Its description in RNAcentral is "partial 16S ribosomal RNA". It matches the Rfam family "Bacterial small subunit ribosomal RNA", at positions 524 to 776 of the family's 1533-position model. The record is from RNAcentral.
UACAGAGGGUGCAAGCGUUAAUCGGAAUUACUGGGCGUAAAGCGUGCGCAGACGGUUGCGUAAGUCAGAUGUGAAAGCCCUGGGCUCAACCCAGGAAGUGCACUCGAAACUGGCGGGCUUGAAUAUGGAAGAGGGUCGCGGAAUUCCCGGUGUAGAGGUGAAAUUCGUAGAUAUCGGGAGGAACACCAGUGGCGAAGGCGGCGACCUGGGCCAAUAUUGACGCUGAGGUGCGAAAAGCGUGGGGAGCAAACAGG